CCCCUAGAUGUUCUGGGCCGCACGCGCGCUACACUGAACAGUUCAACAAGUCUUAACCUUGGCCGAUAGGUCUGGGUAAUCUUUGAACGCUGUUCGUGAUUGGGAUAGACCUUUGCAAUUAUGGGUCUUCAACGAGGAAUUCCUAGUAAACGCAAGUCAUCAGCUUGCAUUGAUUACGUCCCUGCCCUUUGCACACACCGCCCGUCGCACCUACCGAUUGAAUGGUCCGGUGAAAUCUCGGGACGGCGGCUUGGUCGCUUGCGUCCGACUGCUGAAACUUGAUUAAACCAUAUCAUUUAGAGGAAGGUGAANUCGUANCA
RNAcentral lists this ribosomal RNA (320 nucleotides) under uncultured eukaryote. RNAcentral's name for it is "partial 18S ribosomal RNA". It matches the Rfam family "Eukaryotic small subunit ribosomal RNA", at positions 1470 to 1796 of the family's 1831-position model. The record is from RNAcentral.